Hipposideros armiger (great roundleaf bat) is the source of this 626-nucleotide long non-coding RNA. RefSeq lists it as uncharacterized. The transcript is spliced from 2 exons. Lineage: Eukaryota; Metazoa; Chordata; Mammalia; Chiroptera; Hipposideridae. The record is from RefSeq and is a predicted model, not a curated record.
UUUAUUUGCACUUGAAAUAUAAAUAUACCACUCAUUCUAUUAAAAACAGGAAGUCGAUCACUUCAUAAAUCUAACAAUCUCUUUCAUUUUCUCGGUAGCCAUUGAAAUAUUGGACAAUUUGUAUUUGCCUCUAACUCUAUUUAAUUUUGUUUAGCAAACAAAAAUGUGUUAUAUAUAAGCAGAACACUGUCAGACAACAAGCGUUGAAGAAAGAAGAUACCAAGAUGAGUUAAGACAGCCCCUGCCUUCAAAUCCAAUUACAGUCAAUUUGUGGGGGACAGACACAUACACAAAGACCACAGGAAAUGAAUAGAAAGAAGAAAGCAGAGAAGGGGCUAAAUGUGAGCACCCUUCUAUUCUGAAGAUAAUUUUAAAUCUGGUGCCAGAAAGUUUGAUCCAAGACAGGACUAAAGAGCAGACAGGAUAAGGGAGCUGCUUUUACAUUCCAUCCUGGGAAACACCUGAUCUGGGGGGACCUUUCACUUUCUCUUUUGUUCUGUCCUAGGUAGUUGCAUCCAGCCCAGACGAUCCUGGGGAAGAUUUAACAAACGUUUGCUCAAGAAUGGUUCCCAAAAAGGUGUUAACUACUUAUUCCUCAUAUGAAUGAAUUGCUGAUUGCACAACUG